GAUGAAGAACGUAGCGAAAUGCGAUAAGUAGUGUGAAUUGCAGAAUUCCGUGAAUCAUCGAAUCUUUGAACGCACAUUGCGCCUUCUGGUAUUCCGGAAGGCAUGCCUGUUCGAGAGUCAUUAACAACCGUUUCGAUCCCUUUCUUUCAGAAAUUACAAAGAGGAAAAGGGUUUGGUUAUGGUGGAGGAGGGAAAGGGAGCGUUUAGCCUGUAAAAAAAGAGGCUGUGUUCCGCCUCCCCCCCAAAAUUGUACAGGCGGUCGUGUGCGCCCACGCAUCGAGGUGUUGUAACAGCUGCCACGGCACUUUUCACCUGUGCAGUGCGAGAUUGGCCAGCCGGUUUAAAAACCCCUCCAAACAAUCAAAGGUUGACCUCGGAUCAGGUAGGGAUACCCGCUGAACUUAAGCAUAUCAAUAAGCGGAGGA
This 425-nucleotide unclassified non-coding RNA is filed under the name soil metagenome. Its description in RNAcentral is "partial contains 5.8S ribosomal RNA, internal transcribed spacer 2, and large subunit ribosomal RNA". The stretch from base 1 to 120 matches the Rfam family "5.8S ribosomal RNA", at positions 35 to 154 of the family's 154-position model. The record is from RNAcentral.